GUAAAGAUAUUAAUUAGUGGUUAAUCGACCAAGUGGGUACUACAUACUUGCGUAUCUAAUUAAGAUAUUGAAGAGUAUGUAGUAUCCACUUGGUCGAUUAACCACUUUUAUAUAUAUUAUCUUGUUAACG
This 130-nucleotide microRNA precursor is filed under the name Medicago truncatula (barrel medic). Its description in RNAcentral is "miR2672 stem-loop (mtr-MIR2672)". Lineage: Eukaryota; Viridiplantae; Streptophyta; Magnoliopsida; Fabales; Fabaceae. The record is from miRBase by way of RNAcentral.